This 119-nucleotide ribosomal RNA is filed under the name Pteropus alecto (black flying fox). The record is from RNAcentral. Lineage: Eukaryota; Metazoa; Chordata; Mammalia; Chiroptera; Pteropodidae. RNAcentral also lists the same sequence under 1 other name.
GUCUUCAGCCAUGCCACCCUGAACAAGCCUGAUUCCAUCUAAUCUUGGAAGCUAAGCAGGGUCAGGCCUGGUUAGUACUUGGAUGGGAGACCACCUAGGAAGAGCAGGUGCUGUAGCAG